GUACUUGUUUUGGCAGCACAUUUACUAAAACUGGAAAUACACAGAAAGAUUAGCAUGGGCCCUGUGCAAAGAUGACAUGGGAAUACUUCAAGCAAUCCAUAAUCUU
Small nuclear RNA from Onychomys torridus (southern grasshopper mouse), 106 nucleotides. The record is from RefSeq and is a predicted model, not a curated record. NCBI's taxonomy places the organism in Eukaryota, Metazoa, Chordata, Mammalia, Rodentia, Cricetidae.